UAGGGAAUCUUCCACAAUGGGCGCAAGCCUGAUGGAGCAACACCGCGUGAGUGAAGAAGGGUUUCGGCUCGUAAAGCUCUGUUGUUAAAGAAGAACACGUAUGAGAGUAACUGUUCGUACGUUGACGGUAUUUAACCAGAAAGUCACGGCUAACUACGUGCUAG
RNAcentral lists this ribosomal RNA (164 nucleotides) under uncultured bacterium. RNAcentral describes it as "partial 16S rRNA". It matches the Rfam family "Bacterial small subunit ribosomal RNA", at positions 355 to 511 of the family's 1533-position model. The record is from RNAcentral.